AGGACGAACGCUGGCGGCGUGCUUAACACAUGCAAGUCGAGCGGUAAGGCUCCUUCGGGAGUACACGAGCGGCGAACGGGUGAGUAACACGUGAGCAAUCUGCCCUUCACAUUGGAAUAACUUCGGGAAACCGAAGCUAAUACCGAAUACGACCACCGAUGGCAUCAUCUGGUGGUGGAAAGUUCCGGCGGUGAAGGAUGAGCUCGCGGCCUAUCAGCUUGUUGGUGGGGUCAUGGCCCACCAAGGCGACGACGGGUAGCCGGCCUGAGAGGGUGACCGGCCACACUGGGACUGAGACACGGCCCAGACUCCUACGGGAGGCAGCAGUGGGGGAAUAUUGGACAAUGGGCGAAAGCCUGAUCCAGCAACGCCGCGUGAGGAUGACGGCUUCGGUGUAAACCUCUUCACCCACGGCGAAGCGAAGUGACGGUAGUGGAGAAGAAGCGACCGGCCAACUACGUGCCAGCAGCCGC
This 473-nucleotide ribosomal RNA is filed under the name uncultured bacterium. RNAcentral's name for it is "SSU rRNA". It matches the Rfam family "Bacterial small subunit ribosomal RNA", at positions 26 to 518 of the family's 1533-position model. The record is from RNAcentral.